Molecule: ribosomal RNA, 492 nt
Filed under: uncultured bacterium
Lineage: Bacteria
Description: partial 16S ribosomal RNA
Rfam family: Bacterial small subunit ribosomal RNA
Source: RNAcentral
AGUGAACGCUGGCGGUAGGCCUAACACAUGCAAGUCGAACGGCAGCACAGUAAGCGCUUGCUCUUACGGGUGGCGAGUGGCGGACGGGUGAGGAAUACAUCGGAAUCUACUUUUUCGUGGGGGAUAACGUAGGGAAACUUACGCUAAUACCGCAUACGACCUACGGGUGAAAGCAGGAGAUCUUCGGACCUUGCGCGAUUGAAUGAGCCGAUGUCGGAUUAGCUAGUUGGCAGGGUAAAGGCCCACCAAGGCGACGAUCCGUAGCUGGUCUGAGAGGAUGAUCAGCCACACUGGAACUGAGACACGGUCCAGACUCCUACGGGAGGCAGCAGUGGGGAAUAUUGGACAAUGGGCGCAAGCCUGAUCCAGCCAUACCGCGUGGGUGAAGAAGGCCUUCGGGUUGUAAAGCCCUGUUGUUGGGAAAGAAAAGCAGCAGGUGAAUACCCCGCUGUUCUGACGGUACCCAAAGAAUAAGCACCGGCUAACUUCGUG